Molecule: long non-coding RNA, 357 nt
Filed under: Capsicum annuum
Lineage: Eukaryota; Viridiplantae; Streptophyta; Magnoliopsida; Solanales; Solanaceae
Description: long non-coding RNA (CANN_LNC018226)
Source: RNAcentral
CUCUCUCUAGUCUCUAGGUCACAAGACACAACAUCACUUAGCAGUUAGCAUUAGCCGACUAGCAGUAGCAGUUAGCAAUUAGUUUCUUUAGCAAUUAGUGAGCAGCGACUAACAGCGAACCCACCGGAGCGAUGAACGGCGGAUAGUCAGCGUCUCAGCGGCGAUCAGAUAUCAUUUUCUUUUCUAUUUUUUUUAUUUUUCUUCUUCUUCUUUUUGUUUUUUCUAUUGACUGAUUCAGUGAUUUGUAAAAUAAGGUCGACUGUUAAUAGACACGUAGUAAACCUACUUUCACUUUUGAUUUUUAAUAAAAUGCAAAAUCUUCUAUCAUGAUCGAUAAUUUGAUGUUCAUAUAUUUCC